Molecule: small RNA, 125 nt
Filed under: Marmota monax (woodchuck)
Lineage: Eukaryota; Metazoa; Chordata; Mammalia; Rodentia; Sciuridae
Source: RNAcentral
GUUGGGCGUGGUGGUGCACACCUGUAAUCCCAGCAACACAGGAGGCUUAGGCAGGAGGAUUUCGAGUUUGAAGUCAACCUCAGUGAGGGCGAGGCACUAAACAACUCAGUGAGACCCUGUCUCUA